ACAGCAGCAGGCAACAGCACAUAUCAGUGAACCAACACCAUUCAACCAUGCGAACUGAUCCAGUGUAAUAGACAGAUUGCUACAGGUAGCAAUUGCAUACUAGUAACAGGCAGAACCACAUAGCCAACCCCAAUCCUCACUAGCAAAAGCACAACUCUGCAGCAGUUUUAUUUUCAGUUCAUCAUGGCAGGAACAAACCCAAGCACCAACCACCAUUUAUUACAUCACGGACAAGC
Molecule: long non-coding RNA, 236 nt
Filed under: Panicum hallii
Lineage: Eukaryota; Viridiplantae; Streptophyta; Magnoliopsida; Poales; Poaceae
Description: long non-coding RNA (PHAL_LNC000579)
Source: RNAcentral